This 573-nucleotide small RNA is filed under the name Pan troglodytes (chimpanzee). Its description in RNAcentral is "processed transcript". The record is from RNAcentral. Lineage: Eukaryota; Metazoa; Chordata; Mammalia; Primates; Hominidae.
UUUGACUCUGGAGUGGGAGUGGGAGCGAGCGCUUCUGCGACGCCAGUUGUGAGAGCCGCAAGGGCAUGGGAAUUGACGCCACUCACCGACCCCCAGUCUCAAUCUCAACGCUGUGAGGAAACCUCGACUUUGCCAGUUCCCCAAGUGCAGCGGGGCUCGGCGAGCGAGGCACCUUUCUUCGUCCCCAUCCCAAUCCAAGCGCUCCUGGCACUGACGACGCCAAGAGACUCGAGUGGGAGUUAAAGCUUCCAGUGAGGGCAGCAGGUGUCCAGGCCGGGCCUGCGGGUUCCUGUUGACGUCUUGCCCUAGGCAAAGGUCCCAGUUCCUUCUCGGAGCCGGCUGUCCCGCGCCACUGGAAACCGCACCUCCCCGCAGCUUCGGCGCCAGCCAGGACACCCUGUCCACCGCGCUGCAGUGGCUGCUCCUCCUCUUCACCAGGUAUCCUGAUGUGCAGACUCGAGUGCAGGCAGAAUUGGAUCAGGUCGUGGGGAGGGACCGUCUGCCUUGUAUGGGUGACCAGCCCAACCUGCCCUAUGUCCUGGCCUUCCUUUAUGAAGCCAUGCGCUUCUCCAG